CUGUUGCGCGCAACGGCUGCGCUUAAAACCCCACCCCACCGCGCCAAGAAACCACAGACACACACACUCGAGGAUGCACUGCGUUGGUUGGAAAAGCACCUGAGCGGCCACCGAUGUGUGUGCGUGCGCCUCGCAGCGAGCGAGUGGGCGCACCAUUCUGACGGCCUGUGCGCGCUCCUCUCCUUUGUCUGAUUGUCUUGUCGUCCCUCCUACCCCCAUGACGACGUGUUCUUUCUUUGUCUUUUGAUUCGCUUACAUUGUCAGCGCCUCCUCCCUCUCCUCCUGCGUAGAUCUUGGCUCGCCCUCCAGAUGUGUUAGUCGUGGGAGCUGGACGCAGCGUUGGUGUGCGUACAUUUCCUCUCGUUCUCUCGGAGUGUGCUGAGAGAGGUCGAUGUGCGCGGUGUGACGCUUUUUGUUGUUGUGAUGCUUCUUUUCUCCAUUUGUUUUUAUGGUAGAGUGGCGUCGUUCGUUUUUUCCCGUUCCUGUUUUAAGGCCUUCCUCCCUUGGCUGCAUCUCGCCUUCCUUUUAACCUUUUUUCUUCUCUUGUGUAUACCCCCCCCCCAGGGAGGGAGGGCAAAUCAUCUUCUCAUGCAUAUACAUGAGCCUCGGAGGACGGCGCGGUGCGGCGGAGGGGGUGAGAGGAAAGCGUGACCUGCGCUCGAAUUCAUUUUUUUGUUUUACUUUUUGAUCUCUGCGUGUCUAUUCCGUCAUAGAGCAUGCGCCUCACUACACUCCUCCUCCCUGGCCUGCCAGAAGCCCUAUGGCAUCGUGAGAAGCAGCUGGAGACCCACGUCUUACAGCAAUCCGCUGACUCAGCCAUCUGAGCAAGGCCUCGAUAUCAAACUAAACCCACAACCCCCUACGCAGGCUACCUCACAGCAUCUUCCAUCAUGCCGGCCGUCAUGUGGCGCAUCCUCCUCAGGGUGGCUUCGACUCUCCGCACCAACAGGCAGUGUGAGGGCCUGGCUUGAGAUGCGUUCGAGUCACGCGGGCAGUGCGCCGAAUCAUAGGGAUGUCACCGAUGUGUUCGUUGUCGCAGGUGGCACUCCGACGCGACGCCAAUCCAGAACAUGACCGCCGACACAUCAGCAGCGAUACAUACGCACUGAACUUCUCCGUACGUCCUAGGGACUCGGCCCCGUCACCACCAGAAGCGGCUCGGCAUUUGGCAGGGAUAGGGAGAGAGGGAGGAGGGGAGCUGCUCGGCUUCCUCACACGCAGAGUUCGGGGGUGCACCGGGCCCUGACGAUGCCACGCACUGAGCUGUACCGCUUCUUUAGGCGGAUCGAGUUCACAAAAAAUAGCAUGUCUUUUCGGUGCUUCUCACUGCCCGUCUGCGUACGCAUCAAAAUUGAAACUCAGGUGCACGGACUUCAGGUGGCCUUGGUAUGUGCUGAGUGUACGCGAAGGAAAGAAUAAGGAAACAGUGUUGUGCGUGCGCGUUCUACCAGGACAUCCCCAAUCUUUUCGUGUGCCAGGCAGCCUUUUUUCGUCCUUCUUCACUCUCAUUGAUCUGCAUGAUGGACGCUCGCGGAUGGGUUGCUUAUCAUGUGAUCAGCGGGACGAUGUCAUCUGGCGUGUGUGUGCUGCAGGCCGAGCGAGGGAACGCAGAAAACAGAUUUGAAGCAAGGGCUGAGAGGUAAAUCAGAGUAGGAAAGGCGGUAGAGAAAGCAGCACUCGCAAAGCAGGAAUCAACGGCUGCACUCCCUCUCUGCCACUUGAUGUUGCCGGAUGCGUGCGUUCGCAUGUGUCUACACGUCGCGGCUGAACCUCUCAGAGGUAGCCGAAAGCCGAAUAAAAAGCGCGACUCAAACGAAGAAAAAGAUUUCAUCGCUCUGUUUCAACGUUUCAUGUGUAUAUAUAUAUAUUUAUGUGUGUGUGUGUGGCACCCUUCUUUACUUUUAGCCUGUUUCACUCUUUCAGUCUGUUCGUAGCAACCGUCGCCGUGUUUCCUUCUGCUUCUCUCUGGAUGGACGCUUCUGCUUCCUCCCUUAUGACUUAUCGCUCGCUCUAUGAAUAUGGAUUUGCGUUUGUGUAUGUGCGCACGCGAGAAAAAAAAAGAAAGCACCGAGCCAUCGUAUGUCGAAGCCGAUCUGCCUUUCGACGUCUGCCCCUCCCCCCAUCCCGUUUUACGCUGAGCCCACUUCCGCGUAUAUCCCGAGCGCAGUCGUUUUCAUCCCUUUUUUCGCAUGUGCGCAUCCGUUGUCUACUUUUCGUGACGACUGUGGUCUCCUCCUUUUUUUUUCGUGUCUUUCCUUUCUCCCUUGCUGUUUUCGUUUGGCGAUGCUGUGCCCAUGCUCGAAAUGGGCGCCACGAUGCGCAUCUAUGUGUGGGUAUGCAUGUGCGUUGUUGAUGUUUUUUUUUUGUUUUCCUCUAUCAUAGGCGUAGAUCUAUGCGCAUGUCUGUAUAUAUGUGUGUGCGUGUACGUGGCUCACUUCCAUCUUUCUCACGCUCUCUUUCUCUGUUUGCUUUUCCACAACCGCCGUUUUUUUUUGUUCGGUUCUUUUUUCCUGUCGCGUGUGAGCGUUUCUUUUCAUUUUACCCCCGCUUUUUUUCUCAGCUUUCGCGCGUUUUGUUCGACGCCUUUUUUCACGGAGGUGCCGCGAGGAGGCAUAUUGGGCGGUAAGGAGGAGGCGAGUGACCCGUACGUGGGAGCUGUCGGUAGCACACGGUGAGUUUUCUGCCGACUGACUCAUCUCACCCUUUCGUCUCUCUUCCUCCAUCAUCUGGGCUUCUAAGCAGGGCCCCAUAGUACCAUCCCUACCCCCCUCCCCCAUGCGUCUUUCACCACCUCUUAUCGAGCGCAACAUCCUUUUCUUUUCCGCCCUCCCCCCGUAAAACGUUUUUUUUUGGUGGCCAUCAUCGUCUUUGAGGUACGCUACGCCCCCUUUGGCACCUCAAAAAGCACACACAAAAAAUUGUCUUGAGCCGCUUUCCAUUUCGUUUCGCUUGCCAUCUGUUCCAUUCCUUUCUUCCUUGCCUAGUUUUCUUGUGUACCUGCAAGGGUGUCCUCCCCUCGCCCCCUCCCUCACCCCUGUAUGCCCCUCUGUUCUUCUUGCAGGUGCUCGCGUUUGUGCCCGUGUGUUUGUUAUUCUCUACCUUUGCCUUCGUCUCCCUCCCUCGCUUCUUGGUCGUUUUUUCUUUGAUUUGCUGUUCUGCCGUUUGCGUGUAGUGCUGCGUAGAGAAUUUAAUAACGGACACGGUGCUGCUGCUGCUUGUCAAACAACACGGUUGUUUCAGUAAGCUGUGGGCUUCUAUGGCGUGUUUGUGUGUGCGUGUUUGUCUCCCUUCUCUUCUCUAGCGUUUUUCCUGCAGUGGCUGUGUCUCCUCUAUGGCGAACUCUACCCGUUUUCCUCUCCCUUCGUCGUCUGUGUACAUUCUCUUUUCUCUCAACUUUUGCUGUGUCGCUGCACUCUUGGGCCGAAUGCGUGUCUGUCCCCCCUCUCCCCCGUCCUCACUACUGCCGUUGUGCACGCGGAAGGGUCCCCCUCUUCCUCCCACACCCCGAUGAUGACUACGUUCGUGUGUGUGCGUGUAUGUUUAAUGUUUUCGGAUUGUGUUGGGUGGUGUUUCCUGUUUCUGUUCCCCUCCCCCUUCUUUUUUUUUGUUUCUCGACACAUGUUUGCUUGCGCAUGCAUCACAUUUCUGCACGGGUAGUGUGCCCCGUGUCUCGGCUUUCGUCGCUCUCACUAGUGGUCUUUUGGAGAGCAUGGUGGGGUGUAGAGGACUCUCACACACAGACACACAGGUGCACACGCCCACAUCCCGCUCUUCUUGUCCGAUAACGGAAAGAGGGAUAAGAAGAACCGAAGAGAGAGGCGCUGCGGCGGUGAGAGAAUUUGUUGGGAGUUUCUCUCGUGACGGUAAAAGACGGGGGAAAGGAGAAAGGGGAGAGGGGGUAGGCGCAGCAGACACACCACAACACAAGGGUGUGCUCCACCGCCCCGCAGACACUCUUCCCACCCCCUCCUGAGGCUUUUCCCACCGUCGCCCCAUCUUGUAUGUACGCAAGCUCUGUACGUCUGAAUGGAUUGGAGACGAUGCGUAUGAAAAAAAAGAAAACACACUUCGCUUUCUGGCAACA
This 4084-nucleotide unclassified non-coding RNA is filed under the name Leishmania donovani. RNAcentral describes it as "gene:unknown". Lineage: Eukaryota; Euglenozoa; Kinetoplastea; Trypanosomatida; Trypanosomatidae. The record is from RNAcentral.